GUGAAUCAUCAAAUCUUUGAACGCAAAUUGCACUCUUUUCGGAGAGUAUGCCUGUUUGAGGGUCAGUAUUAAUAAAAUCGGUGCUGCUUUUUGUGACGUUCCGGGGAUUGGGCUAACUUUAACUUUCGGGGUUAAGGGGCUUUAAAUUGAUCUUUUUUGCGCACUUUUAGACGUACAUAAAUUUUUUUAUCGUCUAUUCUGGUUGCCAAUUACUUUUUAGGUUCGAACAUAUAA
This 234-nucleotide unclassified non-coding RNA is filed under the name Glomeraceae sp. RNAcentral describes it as "partial contains 5.8S ribosomal RNA and internal transcribed spacer 2". The stretch from base 1 to 65 matches the Rfam family "5.8S ribosomal RNA", at positions 84 to 154 of the family's 154-position model. Lineage: Eukaryota; Fungi; Glomeromycota; Glomeromycetes; Glomerales; Glomeraceae. The record is from RNAcentral.